RNAcentral lists this transfer RNA (47 nucleotides) under Zygiella x-notata. RNAcentral describes it as "tRNA-Leu". Lineage: Eukaryota; Metazoa; Arthropoda; Arachnida; Araneae; Araneidae. The record is from RNAcentral.
AUCUUUGUGGCAGAAUAUUGCAUUAGAAUUAGAAUCUAACUAUACUC